AUCUCGUUAGCUCAAUGGCAGAGUUCCGGUCUCCAAAACCGGGGAUGGUGGUUCGAGUCCAUCACGGGAUGCCA
Molecule: transfer RNA, 74 nt
Filed under: Azoarcus sp.
Lineage: Bacteria; Pseudomonadati; Pseudomonadota; Betaproteobacteria; Rhodocyclales; Zoogloeaceae
Description: tRNA-Trp
Rfam family: tRNA
About the family: Transfer RNA (tRNA) molecules are approximately 80 nucleotides in length. Their secondary structure includes four short double-helical elements and three loops (D, anti-codon, and T loops).
Source: RNAcentral